CCAUGCUUUUGGCAUCGAACUGCAAUGCCUUAUCGUCCUCAUUAAUGGGCUCGCGUUCGUUUUAUCAUCAUCGUUCGUGGUCGCUUGUUGGGUUCCUGCGUUUUAUAUCGGAUUCGACAGUUGGAUGGUCUUCUUGUCCCGACACGGUUUGUCGCUCCUCCCACGUCCCACGCGACGUGGGAAGUUAUUUGGUUUUCAUGGACGUUCGCCUGACGAGUCGUAGUUCCCUAUGGAUGGGAUCUAUUGAUCGUGAUGGCAGGUCGAUGCAUUCGACCUUUUGGGGAGCAGAGAAUUUCUGGUUAUCGCGUUUUUGUCCAUGACACUUGUUAGCUUAAUGUUAACGAGCAUGAUGUUUUUGCAUUUAUGACCCUCGUUCUCGUUCAAGUGCUUACGGAGCUUGUUCGUUCUGUUUGUGCUUGGGGAGUCACCGAGGUCGAGGAUGGAAUCUACCUGGUUGAU
Molecule: unclassified non-coding RNA, 459 nt
Filed under: Sonerila moluccana
Lineage: Eukaryota; Viridiplantae; Streptophyta; Magnoliopsida; Myrtales; Melastomataceae
Description: partial contains external transcribed spacer and small subunit ribosomal RNA
Source: RNAcentral